GCCGAGCGGUAGAGAUUCUUCGGAAUCUUGAGAGCGGCGUACGGGUGCGGAACACGUGUGCAACCUGCCUUUAUCUGGGGGAUAGCCUUUCGAAAGGAAGAUUAAUACCCCAUAAUAUAUUGACUGGCAUCAGUUGAUAUUGAAAACUCCGGUGGAUAGAGAUGGGCACGCGCAAGAUUAGAUAGUUGGUGAGGUAACGGCUCACCAAGUCUACGAUCUUUAGGGGGCCUGAGAGGGUGAUCCCCCACACUGGUACUGAGACACGGACCAGACUCCUACGGGAGGCAGCAGUGAGGAAUAUUGGACAAUGGGUGAGAGCCUGAUCCAGCCAUCCCGCGUGAAGGACGACGGCCCUAUGGGUUGUAAACUUCUUUUGUAUAGGGAUAAACCUACUCUCGUGAGAGUAGCUGAAGGUACUAUACGAAUAAGCACCGGCUAACUCCGUGCCAGCAGCCGCGGUAAUACGGAGGGUGCAAGCGUUAUCCGGAUUUAUUGGGUUUAAAGGGUCCGUAGGCGGAUCUGUAAGUCAGUGGUGAAAUCUCACAGCUUAACUGUGAAACUGCCAUUGAUACUGCAGGUCUUGAGUGUUGUUGAAGUAGCUGGAAUAAGUAGUGUAGCGGUGAAAUGCAUAGAUAUUACUUAGAACACCAAUUGCGAAGGCAGGUUACUAAAGCACACUGACGCUGAUGG
This 690-nucleotide ribosomal RNA is filed under the name Chryseobacterium viscerum. Its description in RNAcentral is "bacterial SSU rRNA". It matches the Rfam family "Bacterial small subunit ribosomal RNA", at positions 61 to 752 of the family's 1533-position model. Lineage: Bacteria; Pseudomonadati; Bacteroidota; Flavobacteriia; Flavobacteriales; Weeksellaceae. The record is from RNAcentral.